UGACGGAAUAGAAUAGUUGGCAGUUCGUCAGUUUUAUAUACCGAAGGCGUUGGUUCAAAUCCAACUUCCGCAA
This 73-nucleotide transfer RNA is filed under the name Ruminococcus sp. RNAcentral's name for it is "tRNA-Ile". It matches the Rfam family "tRNA". Rfam says of the family: Transfer RNA (tRNA) molecules are approximately 80 nucleotides in length. The record is from RNAcentral. Lineage: Bacteria; Bacillati; Bacillota; Clostridia; Eubacteriales; Oscillospiraceae.